GCUCCUUUAGCUCAGCCUGGUUAGAGCAAACGUCUUAUAUGCGAGAGGUCGCUGGUUCGAAUCCAGCAAGGAGUA
Paenibacillus polymyxa SC2 is the source of this 75-nucleotide transfer RNA. It matches the Rfam family "tRNA". Rfam says of the family: Transfer RNA (tRNA) molecules are approximately 80 nucleotides in length. Their secondary structure includes four short double-helical elements and three loops (D, anti-codon, and T loops). NCBI's taxonomy places the organism in Bacteria, Bacillati, Bacillota, Bacilli, Caryophanales, Paenibacillaceae. The record is from Rfam.